GAAGUGCCUGAUGGACGCGGCUCUUGUCAUGAAAUGAGUUUGGAUCCGAGAAGCCCUCUUCUUCAUCGGAAAAUGGGACAAGGAUGAGCUGUGUACCCAGAAUUCCAUGUUUACACUGACUCCUCCAGUGCCUCAUCAAUGAAGUAAGCAGGCAGCUACGUUCUGGAGGGCUAGCGUGUCCUCACGGCACACAACUUCCAAAGUUGACAGAGUCAAGUCCUGGCGUGCCCAAGGCUAUCCAGGGGAAUACGCGGGACAGACAGAACCCUCAGACCGUCCCCAUGACCCUCUGCUCCAGUCUGAGGGACAGGACACCAUGAGACCUCUCAGACACAGAGCCCACCCUCGACAUGACCCGGAUGAAAGGCAGGAGUGUGGUCCCUGCAGAGGACCCAUCUGUGUGAGCCCACAGCCCUACCUGCAGCAUCCACAGCCUCAGAGAGCAGCAGGGGCUGCUUACCCUGAACCCCCGCCAAGAGCAUUAGGACAACAAACCUUGAGCCUUGGAGACAAGAGAAUCAGUAUGCCUGGCCCAGGAAGGAUUCGAGGAGAGGACACGCGCAAGAGCCCUGGCCCAGAGCCAGAACCAAGAGUCCAGCCAG
Molecule: long non-coding RNA, 602 nt
Organism: Cercocebus atys (sooty mangabey)
Lineage: Eukaryota; Metazoa; Chordata; Mammalia; Primates; Cercopithecidae
Exons: 4
Source: RefSeq, a predicted model, not a curated record